Molecule: non-coding RNA, 1733 nt
Organism: Ictidomys tridecemlineatus (thirteen-lined ground squirrel)
Lineage: Eukaryota; Metazoa; Chordata; Mammalia; Rodentia; Sciuridae
Source: RefSeq, a predicted model, not a curated record
GAAACUGCCACUCGUGAUGGGUAGGGCCAGCCCAGGGGUCAGGCUGAGCCAGACGGGACUGGGCGAGUCUCGGUGUUAAGCAUCUGGCAGGAUUUAGAACGCAUUCUGCUCCACAAACCUGCAGUCAGACAGGAUUGGUCCAUCCAUGACGGCUCUGUUCCUCAUGCAGCAUGCUGAAGAGCUUGGGUUUUGAUUCUGGCAGACUAGAAAGGGAGUCCAAGUUCAGACGGCUCUGUGGUGUCUCACAGGAGGACUGAGCUCUUUGCCUAGUUCCCCUUCCUGUGAAGGAGCAAAAUCAACCUCUCCCCCAAGACACUGCUGGAACCCGGAGGUUCGUCCUGAAGGGCUGCCGUUAGUUACGAACAGGAGUGUGCCUGGAGACAAGCUCAGAGCCUCCUAGGGCACCCGGCUGGUGAGGUCCUGUCUUGAGGAAGCUACACACAGUCUACCCCUUGCUCCCUGGGUUUCUGAGCAGGACUGUGGAGGGAGCCUUCUGGGAAAGUUCUUAAUAACUCGAACCAUCAACUGGGACAUGAACUGUACAGGAAAACCUGUCUCAACUGCCUGCCCGUCCUGUGCUGGGGCCUUAGAGCUGAGUGUCCACAGCGGUACAAAUAUUCUCUUCAUGUGAAAUGCCACUCGUCUGCUGGCUGUCUUAUUAGAUCGUCAGUGAUGUAUGACUGUCACUUCAACCUAACACGACGUGGUGUAAACCCAGCAGCAUUGGGACAAAGCUUGCGGUGGAGAAGUGACAAGGUAACACGUUGGCCACUUCCAAAGCCCAAGACAUGGACUGCUGUGACCAUCUCUAGAGCCACCAGUGGUCCUGCAAGCUCAACCCACCAGGCUGCAUAAUCCAUCCUUAUCUGCACCAGAGGACGCCCUCCAACAGAGGGCUUGCUCAGACACUGAAGAGUUCGAAGAGCAGCUGCUGAGGUUUGAAGACUCAUGUCAAGAUAAACAAGGCUUUGUAACAGUACCCACCACACCAGGGCUCUGCAGAGCACCUCCUUCACCAAGCGUGUGACCAAGAAUGUAUCUCCAAGACUCUUGAAGUCAGUGGGCCAUGUGGACGGCUCUGGCCAAUGGAUGUGCAUAGACACACCACGUGCCAGUCCUGUGCCGAGGCCGGGGAGGCCUGGGUCACCAGCAUUUCUCCUGCUAUGAAGAAACACAGUCCACCUGGGUCUCUCCCCGAGUGUGGACAGACAGUCCUCGACUCCAAAGUGCUCCUAAAUAGUGCCAGACACCUGGUUGAGAAAAACUCCACCGUCCCUUGUCUGACAAAGUCCUCCGUACUUCAAGGUCCAGUUCUGAUCCCACCACGUCCAGGAGACUCCCUGUCCUGGAGACUGAACAUCCUCUCCACCGUGACAGUCCCGUGUUGUAAACGUCACCAUGCCGGUUUAGAUCCCCAAAACAUGGCCCAGCCUCCUUGGCCCCCGCGUUCCACAAUCCCCUGUCACACCUGAGCGGCGCUGACCGGAAGGUGAGGAAGCGGACAGGUGUGGGCCUCCCCUCGGCAGCCCCUGUGUGGUUCUGGGUUCUGCUUCCCUGCUCCUCCAGGGAUCCUGAACUGGCUGGUCUCCCUUUACAAUCCACUUUCUAUUUAAACUAGUGCAAAUAACCCGACCCAGGCGUUCCCCGACACUUGCCAAGGACCUUCCAAUCCCAUGUGACCCGAUGCCAUCCACUUUAGGACUUGACACAUUACUGAUUUUGUUUCAUGUGUA